Molecule: unclassified non-coding RNA, 325 nt
Filed under: Hevea brasiliensis (rubber tree)
Lineage: Eukaryota; Viridiplantae; Streptophyta; Magnoliopsida; Malpighiales; Euphorbiaceae
Source: RNAcentral
GGUGGGGAAUGAGCUUGGAGCUGGUAAGCCACACAAAGCCAAAUUGGCUGCUAUGGUUGCUUUGGGGUGUGCCUUUGUGAUUGGUAUCAUCAAUGUUACAUGGACAGUGAUCCUUAGAGAGAGAUGGGCUGGUUUGUUCAUUAAAGAUGGUCUUGUUGAAGGGUUAGUAGCAUCAGUUUUGCCCAUAAUAGGACUUUGUGAGCUGGGCAACUGUCCUCAAACAACUGGCUGUGGAAUCCUACGUGGCACGGCACGGCCUGUGAUUGGUGCCCGCAUCAACUUGGGCUCAUUCUACUUUGUGGGUACCCCAGUCGCAGUGGGCCUG